RNAcentral lists this unclassified non-coding RNA (1681 nucleotides) under Centruroides sculpturatus (bark scorpion). RNAcentral's name for it is "uncharacterized LOC111636209, transcript variant X6". Lineage: Eukaryota; Metazoa; Arthropoda; Arachnida; Scorpiones; Buthidae. The record is from RNAcentral.
CAUAAGAAUAACAAGAAUUUUUUAAAAAUAAUUUUGAUUUUAGACCAAAUUUAUGGAGUUGUUACAGAUUUAUUCAUAAUAAAUAGUAUAAUUAUAAAGCUUUUAUUGGUAAAUUGCUCGUAUGUUAAAUUUGCCUUACCCAUAAACUUUUUAUAUCAUGAUUUAUUUCUAAUUAUCAAGUUUCUAUUACUAAUGGGCUCGACUGAACCCAUGAUGGAUAUGGAAAAAAGUACCUCUUAGUUUCCACAGAGCGGAAAGAGUGAAAAUAUACUAUAGUAGAAACUCGAUAAUUCGUCAUGUUCUGCAAUUUGUCACCUCGAAAAGGUUUUAUUUUUAGACACUGAACCCUAUUUCACACGUAAUGUGUAAUAGCCAGUUCUCGUUAAUUGCUGUAUUUAGUGUGUUUUCAUUGCGUUUACAGUUCAAAGUUUUGGUUCUCAUUUUACGUACUGUAUUCGGAUUAAUUAAAAGUGAAUUAUAUAUUCUGUAAUGGCUUUAAAAGGACCGUCUAAUCGCCAAUCUACUGAUCUACCAUUGAAAUUCGAAAUUCUACAGCGUCUUAGAAAAGGAGAAAGAGCCAGCCAACUCUGUAACAUUUUCAAACGACUUAAAAAAGAAUGGAGACAAAAUCGAAAAUCAAGAAUGGAACUUACCUAUGGUGACGCGAGAUGGCUGGGAAAAUUUAAGAAGGAACACGGGUUUCGGCAGCUGUCUAUUCAAGGAGAAGUUACGAGUGAUGAUAGCGAAUGUAUUAAAAAUUAUUGCAAAAAAUUGAUCUCUCCGAUUUCAAAUUUAGGUUUAAAUAGAAUAGGUUUGAAUAAGUAACAUAAGCAGCACCCAUUGCAUUCUCGAUCUUGGAUACGUUAGCAUAUGUUCUAAAUGAAAGGUAAUCUCUCGGCUCACAAGUGUAUAACUGUGAUAAAAGCGAUCUGUAUCGGAUUGCUUUACCACCGAUAACUUCAGCGUGUGGUUCAGAAACUUUGGCUCCAGGAUAUAAAAUGAUGAAAGAAAGACUGACGAUUAUGGUUUGUUCAAAUGCAAGCUGAAAUCAUAAACCUCCAUUAAUAGUGGUUGGAAAAGCUAAGAAAUCAAGACCUCUAAAACAAUUUUAAUGGAAAAAUCUGUUGAUUAUUUCGGCCAAAAUAAAUGCAUAGAUGUAUUAAGAAAUUUUUACAAGCUUGUUUUGUUGUUCGGGUGAAAUCGUGUCUUAAUAACUCCUGUGCUUUUUGUGGAAAAUUUCUGAAAUUUUGCAGCCGACACGAGGAUUAAUAUCCGAAAGAAUUUACGAAAAACGUAGAAGAAUUUUAAAAAAUUGCAUUCUGUUUUCGGAACUCUUGUUUAUAAUUACUUCAAUAGUUUCAUUGGCUUGUGUAAUAAUUGCUGUUAUUGGCUUCAUGUCUUGGAAUCUCUUCUACUGGAUAUUUGGAAUCACAUCAGGAAUAUUUUGCUUUUCGAUUUUGAUGCGAAUGAUAUUAGGCUGCGUCAUAUAUCGUAUACCAGUAGAAAAUUUAGAUAGCCAGUAUAGUAAAAAGAAACCCGAGUUUCCUCCCGAAUUAUUCCACUGGACAUUAAGAAGAUAUUAAAAUGCAAACAAAGUCAUCCGCAAAAUAUUUUUAACCGUUAACUAUUUCGAAAUAUAUGUAAAUUUUGAUUUAAAAAAUUAUGAAAUUUCAUACGGUUA